RNAcentral lists this ribosomal RNA (207 nucleotides) under Chaetoceros curvisetus. RNAcentral's name for it is "partial Bacterial large subunit ribosomal RNA". It matches the Rfam family "Bacterial large subunit ribosomal RNA", at positions 1507 to 1717 of the family's 2925-position model. Lineage: Eukaryota; Bacillariophyta; Thalassiosirophyceae; Chaetocerotales; Chaetocerotaceae. The record is from RNAcentral.
CAGUUUCUGCUUCAUAGAAGGCGCUUAGGCAAAUCCGGGCGCGGAAUUCAAGGGUGCGAGGCCAGUCGCUUAGGCGACGAAGCAAUCGGAAGUGGUUCCAAGAAAAGCCUCUAAGCUUCAGUCAUACGAGACCGUACCGCAAACCGACACAGGUGGGCGAGAUGAGUAUUCUAAGGCGCUUGAGAGAACUCGGGAGAAGGAACUCGG